This is a long non-coding RNA of Tribolium castaneum (red flour beetle), 224 nucleotides long. RefSeq lists it as uncharacterized. The record is from RefSeq and is a predicted model, not a curated record. The transcript has 2 exons. NCBI's taxonomy places the organism in Eukaryota, Metazoa, Arthropoda, Insecta, Coleoptera, Tenebrionidae.
UUAGACGAGAGCGUUUGAUUCCAUUAUUUUAUUUCAAAUAAAGAUACAUUCAACCUUAACUAAUAUAAUACAAGUUCAGAAACUAACCUAAGUCGAAUAAUCUAAUUACCUUAAGUAUAAAUAGCAUAAAUCUCGGUUUUACAAUGAAAUCACCCAACAACGUUACAAUACAUACGUCAUACAAUUAAUAAUUAUGUUUGAGUUUAGGAAUUGACACGCAAGUG